RNAcentral lists this non-coding RNA (77 nucleotides) under Methylophaga nitratireducenticrescens. RNAcentral describes it as "SAH sequence". It matches the Rfam family "SAH (S-adenosyl-L-homocysteine) riboswitch aptamer". The record is from RNAcentral. Lineage: Bacteria; Pseudomonadati; Pseudomonadota; Gammaproteobacteria; Thiotrichales; Piscirickettsiaceae.
UUGAAUAAGGAACGCUGCGACAGAGAGCACUCUGCUAGGCUUAUUCAAUUUUACAUUCCAAACGGCGUUCAUUAUUA